UGUUCAUAAUUGCCAGCACACAGAUAGCAUACCCUGAUAGAAACUCUCUUAAAAAUGUAUAAAACUGACAGAGGGCAAAAAAGAAUGAUAGAGAGAGAUCUUUCAGAUAAACUCUGUAGCUCAGUAUGGAAUUAAUCAAGGAAUCUCUAUUGGAGGAAAUAUGAGUGGAGACCAUUAAAUUUGACAAAUUAUACGAUAAUUUCAUACUAUAUUUACAAAAAUUUGAAGAGUAUAUUGGUUCCAGUCGGUUGGCAAAAAUGCAAGUUGACUAUUUGUCAUGUCCCGAACCUAGAGCAUAACAGACGCCGCAUACCUACAGAGCAAAUCAUACAAGCAUGCAAAGCUACUGAUGAAAUCAUAAUAAUCUACAAAAUAAUAAUAAUAAUAGUUCGAUCCUCAAAAAUUAAUUUAAUCAAGAUCUAAACAAAUAACCCUUAUAAUCAAUUAUCCAAACUAACAUAAGUCAAAAUAUUCCAACUAAUUAUUAUUAUUCAAAUCGAAUAAAAUGUUCAAACUAAACUAAACCAGUCUAACUAAAUUAAGUUAGAAAUCCAAAUAAUCACGAAUAUCUUCAGAAGACCUAGCGCACUCUCCUAAUUCCCAAACAAUCAUGAUUUAGGAUCUGAAAAAUAGAAAAAAAAGAAUAAUGAGCUACAUCAGCUUAAUAAGCAACAUAACAUAUUAAAGUGGGGUCUAAGCAUGCCAAACAAAUAAAUAAUCGAAUAACAUGAUACUAAUUGAGAAUAAAUCAAAUCUUGAGUAAUACACAUAAUUCUUUCAAAAUUUAUUUUUCAAAACUAAUACUAUACCCAACAUCAGGCUAUGGCCACGUAACCCAGUGGCAUGGGUCAGAUAGCAGAUAUAUGAUGCACAAAAUGCCAGAUAACAGAUAUCACUAUUCUAAUUACU
This 909-nucleotide long non-coding RNA is filed under the name Phoenix dactylifera (date palm). RNAcentral's name for it is "long non-coding RNA (PDAC_LNC016837)". Lineage: Eukaryota; Viridiplantae; Streptophyta; Magnoliopsida; Arecales; Arecaceae. The record is from RNAcentral.